AAUGAACGUUGGCGGCGUGGAUUAGGCAUGCAAGUCGCGCGAGAAGUUUCCUUCGGGAGACGGACAGCGGCGGAAGGGAGAGGAAUAAGUAGAAAUCUGCCCUCGGGACGGGGAUAGCGGCGGGAAACUGCCGGUAAUACCCGAUAACAUCUUUGGAUCAAAUGGUGUGAUUCCGCCUGAGGAUGAGUCUACUUCCUAUUAGCUAGUUGGUGUGGUAAUGGCUCACCAAGGCAACGAUGGGUAGCGGGUGUGAGAGCACGAUCCGCCUCACUGGGACUGAGACACUGCCCAGACACCUACGGGUGGCUGCAGUCGAGAAUCUUCGGCAAUGGGGGAAACCCUGACCGAGCGACGCCGCGUGCGGGAUGAAGGCCCUCGGGUUGUAAACCGCUGUCGUAAGGGAACAAAUCUAAGAGGGUACUCCCUUUUAGUUGAGUGAUCUUAGGAGGAAGACGGGCUAAGUUCGUG
Molecule: ribosomal RNA, 468 nt
Filed under: uncultured bacterium
Lineage: Bacteria
Description: bacterial SSU rRNA
Rfam family: Bacterial small subunit ribosomal RNA
Source: RNAcentral